AUUCAGUCUGGGGCGAUGGACGUGCUGGUCGGAAAUCAGGCAGGGCUUUCCCCGACAGGGGGUCGUCCGGCCGCACGAAGUUCCGUCGCACCCGACGCAUUUGUCUCCCGUCCGAAGGACGCCGCAGCCGGUUGGGUAGUUGCAAGCACGACGGCCUGAGGGGCGGACAAUGGCAGGUGACCGUUGGCGNACAAGCGUCGACGGUUGUUAGCCGGUCCGUCAGGUGGCUCGUCACCCGACCGUGGUGUCAGGAGGCUCUCAGGGGCCUCACCGUCUCCUCCCCCGAGGAAGUCGGGACAGGACGUCGCAGGUGAAUCUCGCCGUCCCGUCGCACUCCGCAGGAGUGGACGGGCGAACGAGAGGCUCCGCUGGCGGCGUCGGACCCGUCGGAGGCUGAUGGCUGGCGGCGAGUAGGUCGGUCACCCACCCGACCCGGUCUUGAAACACGGACCAAGGAGUCUAACAUGUGCGCGAGUCAAUGGGUCUUGAACAGGCCCAGAGGCGCAAUGAAAGCAAAGGUCGGCAGACGCCGACCGAGUUGGGAUCCCGGCCUGACGGCUGGGCGCACCAACGACCCGUCCUAUCCGACUCGUCGGUUGGGCGGAGUAUGAGCGUACACGUUGGGACCCGAAAGAUGGUGAACUAUGCCCGGACAGGACGAAGCCAGAGGAAACUCUGGUGGAGGUCCGCAGCGGUUCUGACGUGCAAAU
Molecule: ribosomal RNA, 710 nt
Filed under: Amaurobius similis
Lineage: Eukaryota; Metazoa; Arthropoda; Arachnida; Araneae; Amaurobiidae
Description: eukaryotic LSU rRNA
Rfam family: Eukaryotic large subunit ribosomal RNA (bases 450-710)
Source: RNAcentral